Molecule: ribosomal RNA, 253 nt
Filed under: uncultured prokaryote
Description: partial 16S ribosomal RNA
Rfam family: Bacterial small subunit ribosomal RNA
Source: RNAcentral
UACGGAGGGUGCAAGCGUUAUCCGGAUUCACUGGGUUUAAAGGGUGCGUAGGUGGGUUGGUAAGUCAGUGGUGAAAUCUCUGAGCUUAACUCGGAAACUGCCAUUGAUACUAUCAGUCUUGAAUAUUGUGGAGGUCAGCGGAAUAUGUCAUGUAGCGGUGAAAUGCUUAGAUAUGACAUAGAACACCCAUUGCGAAGGCAGCUAACUACGCGAUAAUUGACGCUGAUGCACGAAAGCGUGGGGAUCAAACAGG